AGCAUGAAGCCGGAAUCGCUAGUAAUCGUAGAUCAGCCAUGCUACGGUGAAUACGUUCCCGGGUCUUGUACUCACCGCCCGUCACACCAUGGGAGUUGAUUUCACUCGAAGCCGGAAUACUAAACUAGUUACCGUCCACAGUGGAAUCAGCGACUGGGGUGAAGUCGUAACAAGGUAACCGUAGGAGAACCUGCGGUUGGAUCACCUCCUUU
Molecule: ribosomal RNA, 212 nt
Filed under: Campylobacter coli
Lineage: Bacteria; Pseudomonadati; Campylobacterota; Epsilonproteobacteria; Campylobacterales; Campylobacteraceae
Also listed under: 1 other name
Description: partial 16S ribosomal RNA
Rfam family: Bacterial small subunit ribosomal RNA
Source: RNAcentral